UCUAUAAAGCUGGGUAACGGUUACUCACCGUUCUCUUGCUUUGACGUCAGGGGCACGCCCCGCUCCCCGUUCGCCGCACUUCCUGUUUACUUUUGCUGACAGAGUCACUGUUGGGCGUCCGCAGCCUGAGAGGUGAGCCGCUCGCGGACCGCUACUGAAGCUGUGGGCCUACGGUGGUGGGGACUGGUGUCUUCAGGUGGUGGGAACCCCUUCCUGUGUGGCGUGCUGCUCAUCCCCGGUUGUUGUUUUUUUUAUUUCUUCACUCAGGUGUGUGUGAGUGUGAGUGUGUGUGUGUAUAUGUGUGUGUGUGUGUGUGUUCACGUGUGAGUGGGGUGAUUUCUCCUGGGCUCCUUUGUGACGCCUGUUGGCCCAGAGAGCCUCCAGCUCUGAUUAGUCCACAAAAACAUUCAUUGAACAAUCCAGUGUGCAUGUUUGUUUUUUAAAAUUGUUUGUAAAGUGAGUAUUUUUGAUACUGUUAAAUAAAAUUUGUAUUUUUUUUGCCUUCA
This is a long non-coding RNA of Amphiprion ocellaris (clown anemonefish), 506 nucleotides long. RefSeq lists it as uncharacterized. The record is from RefSeq and is a predicted model, not a curated record. The transcript is spliced from 3 exons. Lineage: Eukaryota; Metazoa; Chordata; Actinopteri; Pomacentridae.